ACUUCAUGUCCUCCACCAGUGACUUUGUUGCUUUCCUAUACAGAAGAAAUCCACUUGACAGCUGUGUUUACGAGAGAUUUCGUCACUUUUCUAAUUUGAAUUAUCAUCAUUAUCAUUUUUAACUUACACUGAAUUAUUAUUAUUUUUCAGUGAGGUUUUUUCUUUCAAAUUAACUUUAAUCAUGUCGAAGAUGAGUGAAUUGCGAGAUAGCUUGAGAGAACAAGAGACAUACUAUGGAAUGGCGUGUGCGCAACUUACAUUGUUAAACGAGAGAUUUGAACAAUUAGCUAAACGAUAUGACAUUGCAGAUAAACUAGGACAGAAGUCGUUUCGGUAUUCAUUGAAGUUGAGGAUGUCUGUCCUGGAAGGUGUUCGAAAGAUGUUUUUCAGAUAUGCAACGUUCAAAGCAUGCCACGUCAACGAAAUACGACAUGAAAUCCUAAUCGAACACGCCAUCUCCGAAAACAACGGGGACCAUACCUAUUCAUAUCCACUUCUUGGCCGCUAUGCUAACCCGAUUUUCCACCUAAGCAGCGCAGAUAGCGAUGAAACUGACGACGAAGUCGAAGAGGAUGAGGAUUCUUACGAUACGGAAACAGAGAGUGGCGAUGAAACUGAUGACGAAGUCGAUGAGAUUGAGGAUUAUUACGAUACGGAUAUAGAUAGUGACGAGACGUUGUGAAACAACAAAACGUUCCAAGAAGACUUUUCAUGACACAGACGAUGAAGUACAACGUUGACCUCUAGGGAAGUAUACGCACCCGUAUUCCGCCAAUGUUACAUAACUAAAGUUACAAAUCAGUAGUGCGUUUUAUGAAGAAAUGCUAUGUAAACAGUGUAGGGAUAACAUGCUGAAGAUUUAUACGUACCUUUGUAAGACUUCUCCAUUGCUUAUUUUGCAGUUUCAGAGUACUUCAUGUUAAAGUAGACGGAAGACUUGGAUGAUAAAUACGAGAGAGACCAGGAAGCUACUGAAAGAGGAAGUGGAAAGGAGAAAGAGAAGGGGGAAGUUUGUUUAGAAAUUAAUAUAAAUAAAAUUUUAAUACCUUUU
Ostrea edulis (European flat oyster) is the source of this 1051-nucleotide long non-coding RNA. RefSeq lists it as uncharacterized. NCBI's taxonomy places the organism in Eukaryota, Metazoa, Mollusca, Bivalvia, Ostreida, Ostreidae. The record is from RefSeq and is a predicted model, not a curated record. The transcript has 2 exons.